Molecule: unclassified non-coding RNA, 253 nt
Filed under: uncultured Alphaproteobacteria bacterium
Lineage: Bacteria; Pseudomonadati; Pseudomonadota; Alphaproteobacteria
Description: contains 16S-23S intergenic spacer region
Rfam family: Bacterial small subunit ribosomal RNA
Source: RNAcentral
UACGAAGGGGGCUAGCGUUGUUCGGAAUUACUGGGCGUAAAGGGCGCGUAGGCGGACCAUUAAGUCAGGGGUGAAAUCCCGGGGCUCAACCUCGGAAUUGCCUUUGAGACUGGCGGUCUUGAGGACGGGAGAGGGUCGUGGAAUUCCCAGUGUAGAGGUGAAAUUCGUAGAUAUUGGGAAGAACACCGGUGGCGAAGGCGGCGACCUGGACCGUAUCUGACGCUGAGGCGCGAAAGCGUGGGGAGCAAGCAGG